This 1406-nucleotide long non-coding RNA is filed under the name Astyanax mexicanus (Mexican tetra). RNAcentral's name for it is "lncRNA (ENSAMXG00005003202.1)". Lineage: Eukaryota; Metazoa; Chordata; Actinopteri; Characiformes; Acestrorhamphidae. The record is from RNAcentral.
GGCAGAGCAGCAGGAGAGCUAUCAGAUAAUGGAGGAGGAUUCACUGGCACAGGCUCAUUCCGCAGACCAGUGCACUCCGCAAACACACGGUGGGCGAAAGCACUGAGCUGUAUGCUGUUAUGUAUAUCUACCACAUCAUGCGAUAAAAAUAGAGGCUUGACUUCUUUUUUAGCGCAUCUGAUUCACCUGUUCAUGCGGAAUAUUACGAGUGUUCUGUAAAUAUUCUGUGUCUGAAAUAGUAACAACACCACUGGAACGCCACUGGAAUGCUGGAAAAUGGGAUUUGUGAAUAAUUUAAGAACCAAGAUGUAGAAGUUCUCCACUGGAAGGUGUGUGAAACCAGGGGAACUUAUGGAUUCACGUGUGGAAAGCGCCAAGGAAGGAGAUCGGAGUCCACCACACCAAGAUCGAAGGAUACCUACAGGUAAGUUCAAAGUGCAAAAUUUAUUCAAAAAAGGGUAAUAAAAGAAAAAAGAGAAAAUAAAGAAUUAAAAAAUACAAUGAAAAUUAAAGGACUAUAAUGCAGCUUAGCACUGAACUGCAGCCCUACAAAUAAAUACUGUGCCUAGGCUUCAGGGGAGUACCUUACUGAGCUUAGAACUAACUCUUCAGCAGAGAAAAAGAAGAAGAAGAACAAAAAGAACAAAAAGAAGAAGAACAAGAACAAAAAGAAGAAGAAGAAGAAGAAGAACAACAACAACAAAAACAAAAAGAAGAAGAGCAAGAACAAGAAGAAGAACAGGAAGAACAAGAAGAAGAACAAGAAGAAGGAGAAGAAGAAGAACAAGAACAAGAAGAACAAGAACAAGAAGAACAAGAAGGAGAAGAAGAAGAAGAACAAGAAGAAGGAGAAGAAAAAGAAGAACAAGAAGAAGAAGAACAAGAAGAAGAACAAGAAGGAGAAGAAGAAGAACAAGAAGAAGGAGAAGAAGAAGAAGAAGAAGAACAAGAACAAGAAGAACAAGAAGGAGAAGAAGAAGAAGAACAAGAAGGAGAAGAAAAAGAAGAACAAGAAGAAGCAGAAGAAGAAGAACAACAAAAAGAAGAAGAACAAGAAGAAGAAGAAGAACAAGAAGAAGAAGAACAACAAGAAGAAGAACAAGAACAAGAAGAACAAGAAGAAGGAGAAGAAGAAGAAGAAGAAGAACAAGAAGAAGAACAAGAAGAAGAAGAAGGCUCCCCCACUUUAACUUACUGCCCCUUUAAAUACUGGAAGCCCCGCCCCGGGCUAAACCAAAUCUCAGCAGGUUUCACAAUUGUCUUUACAGAACAUUAAAUGUCCCAGCAACAGCUUUGGUGAUGAGGGAGACCUCAUACCUCAUCACAAAAGAGAAGGUUCUUGAAUUACAACAAAAAUCCUAACUUUGAAGCAAAAAUGAAAAAAUAAAAACAAAAGCCCAGAUGCA